RNAcentral lists this ribosomal RNA (446 nucleotides) under uncultured bacterium. Its description in RNAcentral is "partial 16S ribosomal RNA". It matches the Rfam family "Bacterial small subunit ribosomal RNA", at positions 338 to 795 of the family's 1533-position model. The record is from RNAcentral.
CCUACGGGUGGCAGCAGUCGAGAAUCAUUCACAAUGGGGGAAACCCUGAUGGUGCGACGCCGCGUGGGGGAAUGUAGGUCUUCGGAUUGUAAACCCCUGUCAUGUGGGAGCAAAUUAAAAAGAUAGUACCACAAGAGGAAGAGACGGCUAACUCUGUGCCAGCAGCCGCGGUAAUACAGAGGUCUCAAGCGUUGUUCGGAAUCACUGGGCGUAAAGCGUGCGUAGGCUGUUUCGUAAGUCGUGUGUGAAAGGCGCGGGCUCAACCCGCGGACGGCACAUGAUACUGCGAGACUAGAGUGAUGGAGGGGGAACCGGAAUUCUCGGUGUAGCAGUGAAAUGCGUAGAUAUCGAGAGGAACACUCGUGGCGAAGGCGGGUUCCUGGACAUUAACUGACGCUGAGGCACGAAGGCCAGGGGAGCGAAAGGGAUUAGAUGCCCUUGUAGUC